This 269-nucleotide ribosomal RNA is filed under the name uncultured prokaryote. RNAcentral's name for it is "partial 16S ribosomal RNA". It matches the Rfam family "Bacterial small subunit ribosomal RNA", at positions 524 to 794 of the family's 1533-position model. The record is from RNAcentral.
UACGUAGGGGCUAGCGUUAUCCGGAUUUACUGGGCGUAAAGGGUGCGUAGGCGGUCUUUCAAGUCAGGAGUGAAAGGCUGCGGCUCAACCGUAGUAAGCUCUUGAAACUGUAAGACUUGGGUGCAGGAGAGGAGAGUGGAAUUCCUAGUGUAGCGGUGAAAUGCGUAGAUAUUAGGAGGAACACCAGUUGCGAAGGCGGCUCUCUGGACUGUAACUGACGCUGAGGCACGAAAGCGUGGGGAGCAAAUAGGAUUAGAUACCCUGGUAGU